GAUGAACGCUGGCGGCGUGCCUAAUACAUGCAAGUCGAGCGAACAGACGAGGAGCUUGCUCCUCUGACGUUAGCGGCGGACGGGUGAGUAACACGUGGAUAACCUACCUAUAAGACUGGGAUAACUUCGGGAAACCGGAGCUAAUACCGGAUAAUAUAUUGAACCGCAUGGUUCAAUAGUGAAAGACGGUUUUGCUGUCACUUAUAGAUGGAUCCGCGCCGCAUUAGCUAGUUGGUAAGGUAACGGCUUACCAAGGCGACGAUGCGUAGCCGACCUGAGAGGGUGAUCGGCCACCCUGGAACUGAGACACGGUCCAGACUCCUACGGGAGGCCGCAGUAGGGAAUCUUCCGCAAUGGGCGAAAGCCUGACGGAGCAACGCCGCGUGAGUGAUGAAGGUCUUCGGAUCGUAAAACUCUGUUAUUAGGGAAGAACAAAUGUGUAAGUAACUAUGCACGUCUUGACGGUACCUAAUCAGAAAGCCACGGCUAACUACGUG
This 497-nucleotide ribosomal RNA is filed under the name uncultured bacterium. RNAcentral's name for it is "partial 16S ribosomal RNA". It matches the Rfam family "Bacterial small subunit ribosomal RNA", at positions 28 to 507 of the family's 1533-position model. The record is from RNAcentral.